CUCUCUUCUCUUCACUACAAGAGCUCCUUCUCGGGAAACUGAAACUUGUGUGGUUUUCUGGAGUGUUUGUUGUUGAUAUUUGGUAACGCAAUUAGAAAAUGAUCCGCAAGCGCACGGAUAUCGGUGAGCAUUUCACCCGGGAGGUUAUCCAGAGUUAUCGUAUUUAUAUUUUUACCACUGGGAGAAAGGGUGCAUCUGACUAACCAAAUCUAUUGCUACUAUCCCUUUAGGCUACAAAGAAUGUCUCUCGAUGUGAGUGAUGUAUAGAGAAGACUGCAACCGUAGUCUCGUUCUAACCUUGGUAAGGAUGAUCUACUGUUCUAUUGGGGUGGCUCACGGAAUCUAGACAACACAAAGGAUGUUCGACCCGCACCUAUAAACCUACCCGUCCUGCUAACGAGAUGUGAUCUGCAAAGGUAACUCGGAAAUGUCACGUUCCUCGCUACUACCACGGUCCAGCUAGUCAGGGGAUAUCUAUAAGUACCCUAGCCUAAACACCACGUUUACGCUAACAAGUGAUUACUCUAAUACUCAACCGGAAGAGGAUUAAAGUAAACUCAUAAACCAAAGAACAAUAAAACAAGAACUUACUAGUAUUAGAAGUCGAAUUACUGAAGAAUCUUAGAAGCAAGCCUCGGGUUAGGAGACUUGAUCCCGCAGGUACAACUCGGAGUAGACACCGACAGGCCGGCCUUCCUCCGAUCCACACCUCCACUCUAUCUCUCUCAAUCUAGUAGAAACUAGAAGAUCUAUUUCUACCUUACAUUGGUUGCUAAGCCUAAAAAGAAAUAUUAUUUAGAGAAGAGGUUUUCCUUCGAGGGCACCCCUCAAUCUCUAUGAUAAUUUCUUGUCUCUUCCAGGGGCCAGGGGGCCUCCUUAUAUAGUCCUCCCCUUCUAUGCGUUUUUGGUUCAGCAGGCGAUGUGGUACUAAACUUUCCACCAUAUCUCAUUAAAAUGCACAUAGGCCUUAAUGGACCAAAAUCUGAUUUGGGCCCAAUUAAUCCCGCAGCUCUUUUAUAUGGAGUCCUUCUUUUAUUAAUAUCUCUUGAUUCCGAACUCCAAAUAUAGCAAAUAAUAUAUGCAUUUCGAUCAGCUCGAUGAGAUCUUUGCAAUCGUGUACUCCAUUCUGUGAUUGGUGGAAACACCUGGGCGGGCGCCCAAGGGGAGAGGGCGGGCGCCCUGCCCCCGGGUCCGUUCGGCCUCCCGUUCGUUCCCGUGGCUUCUGGAGUCUUCUACAUGAUAGAAAAUUGCGCGGCACGUUAAUAUCUCUAUGUAAUCCCGACGUGUGG
RNAcentral lists this long non-coding RNA (1289 nucleotides) under Sorghum bicolor (sorghum). RNAcentral describes it as "long non-coding RNA (SBIC_LNC002639)". The record is from RNAcentral. Lineage: Eukaryota; Viridiplantae; Streptophyta; Magnoliopsida; Poales; Poaceae.